Pogoniulus pusillus (Red-fronted tinkerbird) is the source of this 508-nucleotide long non-coding RNA. RefSeq lists it as uncharacterized. The record is from RefSeq and is a predicted model, not a curated record. NCBI's taxonomy places the organism in Eukaryota, Metazoa, Chordata, Aves, Piciformes, Lybiidae. The transcript is spliced from 4 exons.
GGGUGGAGCCCAGCGGGCAGGAGCCGUUGUCCUUUCGCAGGGAAAGGAAAACCUCAGGCGUUCACUGAGCGGAUUUUCCGCUCUCAUGCAAGGGGAUUCAGCGAAUCAAUUAAUCAGCAGCGGCGGAACUGAGACACGUUUUAGAGCAACUCGUCCAGGCCUGAGUGACUGCUGGAGGAGCCUCAGACUCAACCAAGGACCUGCCAUGGAGUUGGAAAUUGAUGUGGGAAGGUGCUCGGGCAGCUGCUCCUCGGGGGAUCCCUGCUCGCUUGGUGCAGGGAGUCAGAAGGUGGAGAGAAAUGUCCGUUCCAGCCUCUGUGCCGCUCACUGCUACGAGGUGCACACGUUCGGGAGCCGCCGCCUCUUUGCCAUCCAGCAGGGCAAGUGCAGGGGGCAGAAGGGCUGGGCAGCGGCAGGUGGGCUCCUGCGAGACCCCCGCCAGACUGUCUGUAGUAUAUGUAAAUGAGAGAAGGCUAUUUUUUGAAUAAAAGCUACUUUAAACAGCGUU